RNAcentral lists this ribosomal RNA (95 nucleotides) under uncultured archaeon. RNAcentral describes it as "partial 16S ribosomal RNA". The record is from RNAcentral.
CUCCCUCGUUGCCGACCCAGGUUCGAUAGUGCCAAUGAGACACAACCUCGCCAAGAACCAACUUCGAUGAAGCGACGGGCGGUGUGUGCAAGGAG